This 1122-nucleotide long non-coding RNA is filed under the name Cricetulus griseus (Chinese hamster). RNAcentral's name for it is "lncRNA (ENSCGRG00015038718.1)". Lineage: Eukaryota; Metazoa; Chordata; Mammalia; Rodentia; Cricetidae. The record is from RNAcentral.
UCAGUAUCUAAGCAAAGGCAAGAAGGAAGUUGUCCCUUUCAUUAUUCUUCCUGCUCUCUGCCCUGAGCCUCUAUGUGAUCCCAGGAUGAGGACACCAGUGGAAGAAUCGCUGGGGUGGGGAUAUUCCCUGUGGCCACCCCUGAGAUUACACUGGGCUCCAGACACUAGCUUGGAAGUGAGAUGACAGAAACAAUGACCCAGCCAAUAAUGUUAUCACAAAGCUGGGGUUUUCAGCAGGGCGCCAGGUGGCCUAAGGAUCUGAUUGCACUUGGCCAAACGCUCGGCUCGGCAAGGGCACCAGUCUUGAUCUGCCCAGUACAGAGCCCCACCACCAGUUCGGCGAUGAAAGUGUCCUCCCUCUCCCCAGAUCAAUGGGACACCAUGACAUCCCAGCCAUUGGACUGAGCCAGCUUACAAGCCUGCAGAGACUCGAUCACAGAGCCAAUCUGGUUGGCUUUGAGCAGGAGGCAGUUGCAGGACUUCUCACUGACAGCCUUGGCAAUCCUCUUAAGGUUGAUUACUGUGAGAUCAUCCCUAACCACCUGGAUGCCAUCACUAGCUGUGAACUUCUGCCAGGUCUCCCAGUCGUCCUCGAUGGACACCACUAGAUACUCCCAGAUGAAGGACUUAUACAGGUCAGCCAGCUGGUCGGGUGUGAUGUACCUGCUGGGGUCAUCAGGAGACUUGAAGCCCAGGUCAUACUUACCAGACCUGAAGAACUCAGAGGCAGCCAUGUCCAUGUCAAUGACAACCUGGUCCGUGUAGCCCACCUUCCCAGUUGUGUUCUUCAGAAGCUCCAGAGCUUCUUUGUUUUCCAGGAUGUUGGGCGCAAACCCGCCCUCAUCACCCACAUUGGUGGCAUCCUUCCCUUAUUUCUCCUUGAUGACAUUCUUCAGGUUGUGGUAAACCUCUGUCCCAAUAAGCACGGCUUCGAAGAAGCUGGAAGCCCCCACGGGAAGGAUCAUGAACUCCUGCAAGGCCAGCUUGUUGCCAGCGUGGGAACCGCCAUUUAUCACGUUGAAAGCGAGGACUGGAAGAAUGACUUCAGAGUUGCCAGCCAAGUCAGCGAUAUGACGUAAUGUACUUCAACUCCAGGCUCCACAAGCUGUGCUGAAACCCAGC